RNAcentral lists this ribosomal RNA (400 nucleotides) under uncultured bacterium. Its description in RNAcentral is "bacterial SSU rRNA". It matches the Rfam family "Bacterial small subunit ribosomal RNA", at positions 355 to 747 of the family's 1533-position model. The record is from RNAcentral.
UGGGGAAUUUUGCACAAUGGACGAAAGUCUGAUGCAGCAACGCCGCGUGAAGGAUGAAGGUCUUAGGAUUGUAAACUUCUGUUAGGUGGGAAAAAAUACUCGGUGCUAAUAUCACCGAGGGAUGAUGGUACCAUCAAAGAAAGCCCCGGCUAACUUCGUGCCAGCAGCCGCGGUAAUACGAAGGGGGCAAGCGUUAUUCGGAAUGACUGGGCGUAAAGGGCGUGUAGGUGGCUUUGUAAGUCAGUUGUUAAAUGCUAUGGCUUAACCAUAGAAAUGCGAUUGAUACUGCGAAGCUAGAGUGUGAGAGAGAGAAGUGGAAUUCUCGGAGUAGCGGUAAAAUGCGUAGAUCUCGAGAGGAACACCGGUGGCGAAGGCGGCUUCUUGGCUCACUACUGACACU